RNAcentral lists this long non-coding RNA (1502 nucleotides) under Homo sapiens (human). Its description in RNAcentral is "non-protein coding TMCC1-AS1:4". The record is from RNAcentral. Lineage: Eukaryota; Metazoa; Chordata; Mammalia; Primates; Hominidae.
CGCGGUCUCUGGGCUGGUUGAGCUGCGCCGCUGCAGGUAGUGCUGAGUUGCUCCAGUGCCACUGGGUUAGGGUCUCCACAACCGAGCUGGUCUCAGCAAGUGGUGUCCAUACAUGGGGCUCGAACCUGGGUUGAAGGGUCGCCAGAGCGACGGUUGGAGAACGUGGAACUAAGCUGGAGGACACCUGAGUACUCUUAAGCAAUCCCCGUGGGGGAGUUAAUCCUCGAGGAUUGGAACGUAAUUCUCUUUGGCAAAUGGAUGUCACCCACGUUCCCUCGUUUGGGAGACUAGCUUAUGUACAUGUAUGUGUGGACACCUUUUCUCACUUUGUCUGGGCUACAUGCCAAUCAGGAGAGUCUUCUGCCUGAGUUAAACAUCACCUUUUGCAGUGUUUUGUGGUGAUGGGCAUUCCAGCUUCUAUUAAAACAGAUAACGUCCCAGGCUAUACUAGCCAAGCUCUAGCUACAUUUUUCUCUAUAUGGAAUACUAAACACAUUACUGGCAUUCCGUAUAAUUCUCAAGGACAAGCCAUAGUGGAAAGAAUGAAUCCCUCCCUGAAACAGCAGUUGCAAAAGCAAAAAGGGGGAAACAGGGACUAUGGGAUACCCCAUAUGCAAUUGAAUCUAGUAUUAUUGACUUUAAAUUUUUUGAGACUGCCUAAAGGCCAGAUGCUAUCAGCAGCUGAAUAGCAUCUACAGAAACCAGCUGCAAAGACAGAAGCAGAACAACUGGUUUGGUGGAGAGAGCCAAUGAUAAAAAGUUGGGAAAUGGGUAGAAUAAUAACUUGGGGUAGAGGUUAUCCUUGUGUUUCUCCAGGACCAAAUCAACUGCCAAUUUGGAUAUCAUCGAGGCACCUGAAACCUUAUCAUGAGCCUGAUGCUGAGGAAUAGAUUCUGGGAGGAUCCCGAGGAUCCCCUGGUUGCAGCCAUGUUGAGACUGACGCUGAGGGGGACCCCAACUGUCACGAGCAACACCCAUCGAACGCAGCCACCUACCUGGGGACAGAUCAAGAAGCUGUCACAGAUGGCAGAAGAAAACCUAAGGAAAGUGGGACAACCAGUCACAAUGAGUAAUUUAAUGAUAGCUAUGAUAGUGGUGAUCACCAUUGCCAUGAGUAUUCCUUCAACAAGGGCUGGCACAGAGGACAAUUAUACUUAUUGGGCGUAUUUAUCAAUCUUGGCUGGCAAUAAUGCCUGGAUGUAAUCACUCUAUGACACAGUUACACAUGCUUUCUGGUCUCCGUAUUUACCAUAAUAAAUCUGCUCCUGUAAUUGAGGUAUACUGCCCUCAAAAACCUAUUUGUAAACAGAAUUGGACCUGGCUAGAAAUAAUGAAUGUAUUUGUUUGGGAAGAUUGCAUUGCAAAACAGGCAGAGGUGCUGUGCAACAAUUCCCGUGGAAUCAUUAUUGAUUGGUCCCCUAAGGGGAUGUUUAGCUUGAAUUGCACCUGUCAGUCUGUGUGCCACAGCCACACUAUGUUCAGCUGGUCUGAACAAAAUGGUC